GCCGCUUUAGCUCAGCUGGUAGAGCACAUCAUUCGUAAUGAUGGGGUCGUCUGUUCGAAUCAGACAAGCGGCACCA
This 76-nucleotide transfer RNA is filed under the name Steroidobacteraceae bacterium. Its description in RNAcentral is "tRNA-Thr". It matches the Rfam family "tRNA". Rfam says of the family: Transfer RNA (tRNA) molecules are approximately 80 nucleotides in length. Their secondary structure includes four short double-helical elements and three loops (D, anti-codon, and T loops). Lineage: Bacteria; Pseudomonadati; Pseudomonadota; Gammaproteobacteria; Steroidobacterales; Steroidobacteraceae. The record is from RNAcentral.